RNAcentral lists this unclassified non-coding RNA (2987 nucleotides) under Leishmania donovani. RNAcentral describes it as "gene:LdHU3.19.1100(CDS-product:hypothetical_prote in_conserved)". Lineage: Eukaryota; Euglenozoa; Kinetoplastea; Trypanosomatida; Trypanosomatidae. The record is from RNAcentral.
AAACAACGCGAAAACCCACUGCCAUACAUAAGCGGUCGUGCACAUACUUCGCACACAUACACACUCACACGCGCGUGUGCGUGGGCCGCGGCAAAAAAAAAAGUGCGGGGACAAGGUGUCCGUGGAAGGGAUGAUGUGGGCGCGUGUUGCGACGCAUGCUCUUCUUCGUCUGUUCAGCUUCUAGAUCCAUCACUCCCUCCCCCUCUUACCUCCCUCCCUCCUCAUCUCAUCCUACGCGUACUGGCCCGCCGUUUGGGGGAAGCAUCUAGCAACAGCAGCGGCGCCCUUCCCCUCCCCUUUUUUCUUCCGUUGUUGUUGAAGCUGAGUCUUUUGGCACGAACCCACGCUCGCAUGCCCUCGUCACCCAGUGCGCCGCAACGGAAGCAGCAGCAGCAGCAGCCAUGGACCUUCUCGGCGUAUCACACAGUGGUGCUCACAAACUUUGUGAGCGCCCUCCAAGCUGAAGUGCGUUGUCAACAAGACGCCUACGACCACGCGGUGGAAGUGCUUCACACGAGCGCGGACACGAUCCCAACCAGCGGCAUGCUGAAGCUUGGCAUUCCCCUGUACGACACACAUGAAGAACAGAUACAGGCGCUGCAAGACAAGUACGCGCUGGCCACACUGGAGACCGGGGCGCUUGUCGCGCUGGGGCCUUACCGGCUGCUGCACACGCUGAAGGCACACGUGACGCGCAUCGAAGACGAGCGUCGAGCGGGCGCCGUGGCGGCAGGAAACGGCGGAGGUGUACGGAAGAUGCGCGUGGGCAGGGCUCCAUUUGUGCGCAAGUCGAAGACGAGCAUCGACACAGCAACUCUGGAUGGAGGCAAGGCUGGUCAGACGCCACAGCGUCGCGGCGUGCCUCCGAUGUCGGUGCGAAUCAAGGAGGAGCGCAUCGACGAUGACAAGCGCAGUGGAGUCGCACAGCAGCGGCAGUCUCUCAGCGAGCAUUCUCCUCUCGUUUCACAGUCACCGCUCUCUACUGCCGCGACGGUAGCCAAGACGGAGAACCCCAGCGCUAAAGGCGCCAGUGUGAGCUCUGCCGGCGGCGCUGGUGGAGGCGGCUGGGGCGACGGAUGCCCUCCCUCAUGGAUGACGCUCAAAGCAGAAGCGGCAGAGCCACCACCGUCGAGUGAGACCUAUAACGGCGCUUACUUCGUCCCCUGCCCCACUCCGGCAGGCGCACCAAUCGCCCGCUACGUGUCCUCGUCGGUUUGUUUGCUUUCCGCCAACAACGCAGCGCAGUCACCGUCCGCGCCGCUGCCCCCGCUUGUCGCACCCGUGAACUGUGGGACUAAAGUAAUGAGCAGUGCAAGCAAAAAGAAGCGUCCGGCAGCGUUGCCGUCGCAGGCACCCAAGCGGUGUCGCUCGGUGACCAUGUCGCAAGCGAACGCUGUUGCCACCGACGAGACGCCGUUUCUCUCGCAAGCGCAGCGGGCAAAGAUCGUCCGCAUGCAGGAGCACGUGCAGUUCCUCGGUCAGGCAUCGCCUCCUUCAUCCCCUUCGAAAGAGAAGCUGGAGGGCGACCGUGCACUGCGACUGUGGUGGCGCGUGUGGCCCAGCUCUCCAUCGUUGUUGCCGCCAGACGCAGAAGAGAGUGGGCGGCAACAACGCGCCGCAGCAGCGCCGCCUCCCGCCCAGCACGCGUGCGUUCGGCCGACACCUGCCAUGGUCGCUGCGCUGAUCCAAGUUGCUGAGCAAAACUACAAGCGGGAUUGUGAGCGCUGCGCGGCGCAGCAGGCGUAUCUCGCGACGCUGCUAGUCGCGGCGGAGUCUCUGAGGGUGGGCGGUGCUGCAGCGGGCACGGGCGACACAGGGAACGCUGGGCAAGCGCCUAUGGAAGCAACGCUGGAGUCACUGCAUCCAAAAGCCGUGCGCCAACUUCAAGACGAGCUAUCGAGCAAGCAAUCGAAGCUCGGCAGUGCGUACGCCGAGCGGCUGGCACUUUUACGAGAGUUGGCCGAAGCGCUGCGCGAUGAAUCUGCUGUGUGCGUCGACGAGGCCACAGCGUCUGAGGCUGGUGAGGUGAAGCAUGCUGCCCCUUCCUCGACGCCUCACUCGCAAUACCGCGCCGCAUCGCCAUCGAGCAAUCGAAAGAGAAGCCGGCGGGCUAGUUCGACUCGCCAUGCGACUCGAUCCUCCCCCACAGCUGUCGACGUUGAAGUGUUGGAUGCUGACCGCCGCGGCGGGGAGCAAGCGGUGGCCAAUGCAUCGACGAGGAGCGCAGCGGCUGGCGCAUCCGCUCUGGAACUACUUCACUCCUCUCUCACAGACCCCGCAUCUCUGAUGCGAAAAGUCCACAAGGCGCGCGAAUCCCUUGCGUUCUUUUCCAGCGAAACGUCUUCCGCGGAGGUAACGCUGGGGUCGCGCUCGCAGGCCUCCUCUGAGGAGGCCUUGGAUCUGCCAAACGGCAUUGUCGGUGUCAAUUUGCCGUCCUUGGAGCACGACCGCAACGCGCCUGAGCUGGCGGAGUACCUCUGGCCAGAGGAUCUGGAUGCCCGCAUCCGGCAUGAGCUGCGCGGCGUUGUGAGUGUCAAAAGCCGCAACCCCGAAGCGAGCAGUAUUCACGUAGUUUUAUCAGCGGCGCGAGUGCAGCAGCUCGAGGAGACGGCGCGCGCCGUGUCCACCGUGGACCCUGUUUCUCAACUACGGACGGUGGUGCCACCGCUGGUGGUUGGCAGCAUCAUGGCGCACCCCAAGUUUGUCGAAAACGGCUGGCUCUACGUGCACGGGCGUGGCGAGACGAUUGUCGCCGACGUGGAACUCAACUAACGCGUAAGGGGUCCCUGCCUUCUGGCGGUGCUGCAUCUCUGUCCGAGUCAUCUCAGCAAGUGUCGUACUCCUCGUGCGCGGGGACCGCGGUUGAGGGGCAGGGAGAAAAGAAGACUGGGCGUAUCAUGAAAGUGGUGCCGGCGUGUGUCUGGGAGGGAAAUGAUAAAAGCUCCUGCAGCACACUCCAUACCUUUGCUUGCCACAUGGGCCAUUAC